Molecule: long non-coding RNA, 159 nt
Organism: Mobula hypostoma (lesser devil ray)
Lineage: Eukaryota; Metazoa; Chordata; Chondrichthyes; Myliobatiformes; Myliobatidae
Exons: 3
Source: RefSeq, a predicted model, not a curated record
AAGUUGCAGAACAAAGCUAAUGGUUCGAAGCCUGGAUUUACCAGCAUGGCAUCCUACUCCGAAUCCCAUGGCCGUUACUGGUAUACGAGGUGCCUGUGACAACUGUGGAAUUGCUCGAGAGAAAGCCACUCUGAUUAUCGGACACCAUAAAGAGAUACA